UAUAUAUAUAUAUAUAUAUAUAUAUAUAUAUAAUUUGUCCUCAGCCUCUGAAUUUAACUAUGACAAAUAUGAGUUCUACCAAGGCAUUCCAACACCUUGUUGUUUGCAGUCAUCUUCAGUUUAUUCACACCCCAGAGGCCGACUGUUAAACCAGCGCAAAGUCUUUCAGUUCAGCUUUCUCACUUUUAGUCAUUUAUCACUUUAACGUUCACACAAAACUGUUUUUGGUUAGAGAAUGUGAGUAAUGAUGAUAGCAUCACCGACAUGCUGUGAAACCAUACAGGGCUUUCAAUAAACACAUGAACGUCUCCAAUGUUCCACACAGUCAUUCAGAGUGAAAGAGGAAGGGAUGGCCUGAGGAAAGUUCCUGACAUACUGUAGAAGAAUUGCAUCUGGGGAAGGACCGGGGUUGCGUUUCCCAAAAGCAUCUUAGCCUAUCAUAGAACCAGUGCCACCAAUGGUCUCUAUGGUCAACUUAGCUCUUGGUGCUUUUGAGAAACACAGCCCAGGUUUAUAUUAAGGUUCAACGUGCCUUGUUGCACAAUGUGCACUUUUAAUUUUAUCAUUUAAUUUUAGCAAAGGAAGGAAUUAAGCCAAUGUCUGUUAAUCAUACAAAUUGAAUUCAAGUCUGUAUUUUAUCUGCUUUGACAACUACUAAUAAAAUUGCAACCAUCUUUUCAACAUCACUUCAUGCCUUGCCUGGAGAACAAUUAAAUUUUCCUGUAUCCCCUGAAUGGGAGGAAACAGCUUGGUGGGUACAGUGACCAAAUGCCUCUUUGUCUGCAUUCUCUUCCUGUAUGCUUUAGCAGUGGAAAAUAUUGCCACACAAAGCUUAAAAUGUUGCUAAAAUGUUGUGAUGUCCCCAGCUACUGAUUGGCCUAUCUGCCUUUCACUUACGAUUUUGUUGGAUUUUAGCACAUCUAAAUAUAAAACACUGACUUUAGAUAAAGUUCAAAAAAACUUUAAGAAAAUGUCUACUCAAUUGUGCUCUUUCUUGCAAAAAAAAAGAAAAGAGAUAUGAAAAUUUUCAGUCAGGAUUCAGGCCAGCAUUAUAGCACAGAAAGUGUGCUUGUUAAAAUUACAAAUGACUUUCUAGCUUCUAAUCAAGGCUGCAUCUCAAUACUAGUUUUGCUUUAUCUUAGUGCUGCGUUCGACACUAGAGAUCAUGGCAUACUCUUAGAUAGAUUACAAAAUUACACUGGUAUUCAGGGUCAGCAUUAAGGUGGUUUAGAUUGUACUUAACUCUGUUACCAUUUUGUUUAUUUAAACAGGGAAUUAUCCGAGUUAACGUCAGUAAAUUAUGGAGUGCCACAAGGGUCUGUUUUAGGCCCUCUGCUAUUUUCAAUAUACACAUUUUCAAAAUACAUACUUGCUGGUAAUAUUAUUUGAAAACAUGCAAUUAGUUUCCACUGAUAUGCUACUGAUGAUACUAGGAACGAUUUAUAUUUCAUCACUACUAUGAAAUAUAUUUCAUGUUAUAUAUUUUAUCACUACUAGAUGAAAUCUCUAAAUUAUCCAAGUUGACAGAGUGUGCUAAAGACAUAAAAUAUUGUAUGACCAGUAAUUUUCUUCUGUUAAAUUCUGAGGUAUUACUUAUUGGACCAAAAACCUGUACACAGAAUCUCUUUGAAUAUAAUUUGCAUCUAGAAGGAUGUACUCUAUCCUCUACAGUAAAAGACCUGGGCGUUAUAUUAAACAGCAACUUGUCUUUCAAAAAUCAUAUUUCAUAUGUUUCAAAAACAGCCUUUUUCCACCUCAGAAACAUUGCUAAGCUACAGAACAUGUAUAAAAAUAUAUAACCCCAAUUUUAUCAUGCACUGGUUAUUUAAGUUCUGUAUUGAUUGCAAAAUACUGCUACUGAUCUAUAAGGCCCCAAAUGAUUUAGCUCCUGUAUAUUAAACCAAUGUUCUAUCGUUCAACAAUCUAUCACGCUCUUUAUUUUAGAAACAAAAAAACAAACAAAAAAAAUGGACUUUUGAUAGAACUUAUGAUAUCUAAGUCUACUAAAGGAGAGAAAGUGUUUUCGCAUUUGGUUUACUCUAAAUUGUAAUGUAAUGCAUUUUCCUGUAAAGCUGCUUUGAAACGAUAUUGUGAAAAGCGCUAAACAAAUAAAAGUGAAUUGAAUUGAUUUUUUUUCUGAAGGAAUCUUUGAUUAGGCUAUACCUAUAUAAGGAAGUUCGUGUGCAUGCCUUUUGAAGCAUUUUCAAUUUAAGUUAUAAAAAUCAUUAAUUUUAGCAACAACACUGCCGGCACAUAUCACUUAUUCUUAUCACUUAUAUAUGUAUGACACUAAUAUGUCAGCAUAACAGGAUCUGAGCAAUAUUCAUGAAGAAAUAAGGGAGAUUUGUCAGUCAUUCAUCACUUCCUGUCUCGGCUUCACCAUUGUGUCGCGCUUCCAAAAGACGGAAGAGCCGAAGGAAUGCAGAUAGUUGUUUUCUCGUGGAACUUAGAAAGUUUCCUACACAGGCAACGGAAACAACUUCAUGUUCUUGUUCCAGAGAAGUAACAUAAGGAUCAAUGGAGGAAAAAACACAAAGGCUACCAUGACAGCUGAAAAAAUAUUGUUUUCCAACGCACUGCCAUGACUGAAGAGAAACUCCCAGAGAUUUAAGUCUCACGGCAAGCUAGGCCUCAUUAAAUUAGACCUGGACAUCCUCCAAGGGAUAUGAGCAUUUAAGCUGACAUUCACACCCUCCCUGAAGUUGUGAAACGGACUCUGGCAUUCACAUGCUAUCACUUGAGUCGGUCAUUGUAAGGCAAGCUAAACCAGGUCUCGUGCCGACUCCCCAGGGGUCCUGAGCACACACACCCACCAACACAAACACAUUUACCCAUACUCUAUAUUUCCCCCCAUUGGGCCUCAUGCCUGCCCCCAACUUGGUUUAACCCAAUGAGAAAACACAGGAGGAGGUCAGAGGGCCACCGUUACUCUAAGAGACCAAUGGACAGAGUGACCCUGAAGGCCUUCACAUAGAUCUUUGUACACUUUCUGUCAACAUACCCGCUCUGCUGCUGACUCGGUCUAACCCAUACCUCCUCUGUGAAAUGAUGUCACACAUUUUAUGUGAUUCUUAAACAUAAAGUGGGGGACCUGCUCAAAAUGAUGGUAAAAUCUUAAUCUUACAUGAAGUUUCCUCUAAAAUGUAGCCAUUUUCACAGAAAAUCAAAAUCAUAAACAGUAUUUGCAUGAAUGAGAACUGAUCCUAUGCUAAGGCAACAUAAGUGUGCUGUAAAUGGCAUGGUGGGAUGUUUACGUGGCUCAUUAGUUGUCUGGUGAACUCUGAGCUGGGGUUCAAUGCAGAAUACUACGCCUCAUGUCUCAGUGUGGGAUCCUAGAGGACGUGCAUUAAACACAAGCACGCGUCGUGAACCAUUUUGUGGCUCUUUAAAGAAGGUUUCGGAACAAUACAAACUUAGGUGUCAUCUUAGAGCGGUUUCCUGUGGUGCCACCGUUACAGCCUGUGUUUGGAAAAGAAAAUAGCACAGUGAAACUUUAGACACAACAGAUGAGAGUUAGAGUACUUUAAGACAAGGGGUCAACCGCAUGUAAACACUGCAUUUUCUGUUUUCUAAAUUUACAACUUCUGAACUUGACCCCAACCCUUGGGACAAAUGCCACCACAAGGACUUUAUUUUUCACUAAUUGAACUCAGAUGAAUUAAUUUCACCUCAUCCAGGUUGAUUUUUUGGGAAACAGAGGAGAAUAUUGUUAAUUUAAAGUUAUGUUUACUAUAAUAUGCAAUUAACUAUUUUAAAGUUACUACCCAUCAGUAAGGGUAAUUUAUUGAGUUUUCCUAGCAUGAACCAAAUGGUGUGUUGCAGAUAGCAGGAAAAAAACAAAGCUAAAUGCAAAUAAUGAAAUGCAACAAACCAUUUAAUAAAAAAUAAAUAGGCCUAUCCAUUGAUUGAUUGAUUGAAGUAUGUGCAUCCACUCAAACUUCAAAUCAUCUGUAAUAUGGCUAUACUAACAAUAUUUGGCCUAGAGUUGUCAAAAGUACCGACUUCGGUACCAAGUUGGUACUGAAAUUUUAAAAAUGUGACGCUUUGAGUGCUGUCGAGCGGAUUCGUAAACACCUCUGAUUGGCAAUUGUGUUGACACGCUCAUCGGAUAUGUCUGUGAUUGGCUGCAAUGAUCAACGCUUCAAAAACGUAAAUAGUCAUCAAUGAUGCUCAUCACUGAGCACUUACACAGAUACAAGUGGGAGCAUUUGAAAG
Long non-coding RNA from Megalobrama amblycephala (Wuchang bream), 4215 nucleotides. RefSeq lists it as uncharacterized. NCBI's taxonomy places the organism in Eukaryota, Metazoa, Chordata, Actinopteri, Cypriniformes, Xenocyprididae. The record is from RefSeq and is a predicted model, not a curated record. The transcript has 6 exons.